RNAcentral lists this ribosomal RNA (517 nucleotides) under Cortinarius cf. pilatii UBC F17250 OC178. RNAcentral describes it as "eukaryotic LSU rRNA". It matches the Rfam family "Eukaryotic large subunit ribosomal RNA", at positions 1 to 516 of the family's 3401-position model. The record is from RNAcentral. Lineage: Eukaryota; Fungi; Basidiomycota; Agaricomycetes; Agaricales; Cortinariaceae.
UGUGACCUCAAAUCAGGUAGGACUACCCGCUGAACUUAAGCAUAUCAAUAAGCGGAGGAAAAGAAACUAACAAGGAUUCCCCUAGUAACUGCGAGUGAAGCGGGAAAAGCUCAAAUUUAAAAUCUGUCAGUCUUUGGCUGUCCGAGUUGUAAUCUAGAGAAGUGUUAUCUGCGCUGGACCGUGUACAAGUCUCCUGGAAUGGAGCGUCAUAGAGGGUGAGAAUCCCGUCUCUGACACGGACUGCCAGGGCUUUGUGAUGCACUCUCAAAGAGUCGAGUUGUUUGGGAAUGCAGCUCAAAAUGGGUGGUAAAUUCCAUCUAAAGCUAAAUAUUGGCGAGAGACCGAUAGCGAACAAGUACCGUGAGGGAAAGAUGAAAAGAACUUUGGAAAGAGAGUUAAACAGUACGUGAAAUUGCUGAAAGGGAAACGCUUGAAGUCAGUCGCGUUGUCUAGGGAUCAACCUUGCUUUUGCUUGGUGUACUUUCUGGUUAACGGGUCAGCAUCAAUUUUGAUCAUU